ACUCCUACGGGAGGCAGCAGUGGGGAAUAUUGGACAAUGGGCGCAAGCCUGAUCCAGCAAUGCCGCGUGUGUGAAGAAGGCCUGCGGGUUGUAAAGCACUUUCGGUUGGGAAGAAAAGCUCAAGGUUAAUAACCUUGGGACUUGACACUACCUUCAGAAGAAGCACCGGCUAACUCCGUGCCAGCAGCCGCGGUAAUACGGAGGGUGCGAGCGUUAAUCGGAAUUACUGGGCGUAAAGCGCGCGUAGGUGGCUGGGUAAGUCGGAUGUGAAAG
Molecule: ribosomal RNA, 273 nt
Filed under: uncultured bacterium
Lineage: Bacteria
Description: partial 16S ribosomal RNA
Rfam family: Bacterial small subunit ribosomal RNA
Source: RNAcentral